AGUGAACGCUGGCGGUAGGCCUAACACAUGCAAGUCGAACGGCAGCACAGUAAGAGCUUGCUCUUACGGGUGGCGAGUGGCGGACGGGUGAGGAAUACAUCGGAAUCUACUUUUUCGUGGGGGAUAACGUAGGGAAACUUACGCUGAUACCGCAUACGACUUACGGGUGAAAGCAGGGGAUCUUCGGACCUUGCGCGAUUGAAUGAGCCGAUGUCGGAUUAGCUAGUUGGCGGGGUAAAGGCCCACCAAGGCGACGAUCCGUAGCUGGUCUGAGAGGAUGAUCAGCCACACUGGAACUGAGACACGGUCCAGACUCCUACGGGAGGCAGCAGUGGGGAAUAUUGGACAAUGGGCGCAAGCCUGAUCCAGCCAUACCGCGUGGGUGAAGAAGGCCUUCGGGUUGUAAAGCCCUUUUGUUGGGAAAGAAAAGCAGCAGGUUAAUACCCCGCUGUUCUGACGGUACCCAAAGAAUAAGCACCGGCUAACUUCGUG
This 492-nucleotide ribosomal RNA is filed under the name uncultured bacterium. Its description in RNAcentral is "partial 16S ribosomal RNA". It matches the Rfam family "Bacterial small subunit ribosomal RNA", at positions 29 to 507 of the family's 1533-position model. The record is from RNAcentral.